This 1828-nucleotide long non-coding RNA is filed under the name Anas zonorhyncha (Eastern spot-billed duck). RNAcentral's name for it is "lncRNA (ENSAZOG00000005889.1)". Lineage: Eukaryota; Metazoa; Chordata; Aves; Anseriformes; Anatidae. The record is from RNAcentral.
GCUUAUUAACGUCCAAUUGUUGAUUGAAGGUAUUGUCUGCAAUUAAUGCCCGUCAAUGAUGUUUAAAUGUGAUGAUGAUAUUUCAUCAGAAAAGGUAAUAUUGUUGAUACACUGCAGCCCUGAGAAAUCACCAGAGUGUUAAAUGCCACACGGAGGUCAGCAGUCACAUACAGAUGCUGCUGGGUGCUAUGCCAGACUCUCGCCCAUCAUCCCUGUUUGCUCACUAAGACUUUGCCAGCUCUAUGGAUGCUCCCUCAGCCUCAAGUGAAAUCUUAGGUUUGAAGUGAUCCUCUCCAAAAACCAUCAGAGUGAUGCAGAAGGGGCCUUGAAUCCUCUUUUCAAGAGCAGUGACUGCUGCUUGGCUCGGAGAGAUGCAGAAGAAAUGCCUACUUUGCCAGCUAUUACAGCAGAUAGUCAAAGGCGUCCAAGGUUGCCCUUAGAUCACUGAAGGAGCUGUUGUACCGUGUGCUGCGCAUCAUCUAGGAGCAGCAGCAGAGCUGUGGUGGUGCUCAGGGGUGGUGGGCCCUCCAGGAUCUGCUGGCCAUCAAGGAGCAUGUGGGGAAUACCAGGCAACCCUCCCGAGAUGCCAGCACCGUUGGUGCAAGCCUGGCUGUGUUACUGGUGCAGUCACCUGGGUUUAAGAGCAGCGUACUGCUGCUGCAUCUGAAGGAGAUCAGUAAGAGACACCAUCACGGACCUGCACACAGUUCCUGCAGCUGCUGUGAUGCUUCUCAGGAGUGGAGAUCCCCUGCAGUACCGGGGUCUAUCUGCACAGCCACCAAGGCUGUCUGUGAUUUGGGGAAACUAAGCAAUGCUGAAAAGGCUGAACCUGUCAUGCUGAAAGGGAUGAAAAGGCCCCGGCAGACCAGGAACCCUGCCAUACAUGAUGAGACAAUACUUGUUCAAUUAAGCAUCUUAUGCCUGUGUGUAUCUCUUAAUAUGCAAAAUCCCUGGCUCACCGUUAGCCUCUGCACACACUACCUGUCUUAAAAACCCUCAGACUGAGGGGUGGCCCUUCUGCUGGGGUCCACUUCUUCCUGGGCACUGGGGGUAACUUCAGCAAUUCUUUGAGUUAUUUUCUUCGCAGAAAACACAUGGAACAGAUGGGCAUAGGCCAGCAUCAAGGCUGGUGCCGCAGUCACAGAAAAGGAUGUGCCCUGCCCUUGUGAGAUAAACCUUCCCCCACCUCACAUAAAAUAAACAGUUGAGCUUCCAUUGCCCAAAGCUAGCUAUUAACAAGCCUGUUGUUUUGCAGUAGUACGUACAUGGAUAGGUAGGUAGAAAUAGCACAAUACCAAAGAAACUAUCCUCCAUAAAUUAUAGUGGCUUCUUCUGAAUUCUUGUUAAUGCUUACUUUAAACCUUGAUGUCUAACUCUUCUUGAACAUUCUUGUCCAGAGUAAUUAAUUUAUGCUUUGUUCUGAAAGCGUAUCAGUAAACGGGCAUCAAUGCUGAUAGCCAUUUAUUGCUCCAGCAGUGAGGUUAAACAGCUUGUGCUUUUAACUGCAUGGUACAAAAGAUAUAAAACUAUUUGCUUGAGAUAUUAAUCCAGGAUGACCUGAUGUAAAGUGACAGUAAAAGUGGCUUUCCCAAAGAUGUGAAAUAUAUGCUCUGCUCACUACCUCCUGCUGACUCUCUGCUCCAAGUGAAUAAACAUUCAGCUGAAUUCUCCCACCCAGGUGUGAUCCAGCAAUGAACUGGCAGCGCAUCCUUUUGUCUGCUAAUGCCAAUUCUAACUCACAGGAGCAGCCUACCACCGGCUCUGCAGCCAAAAUGCUUUCUCAAUUUUCUCAAGAAUCAACACAGAAAAUACCACAAGAACAUAAAAU